This 497-nucleotide ribosomal RNA is filed under the name uncultured bacterium. Its description in RNAcentral is "partial 16S ribosomal RNA". It matches the Rfam family "Bacterial small subunit ribosomal RNA", at positions 28 to 507 of the family's 1533-position model. The record is from RNAcentral.
GAUGAACGCUGGCGGCGUGCCUAAUACAUGCAAGUCGAGCGAACAGACGAGGAGCUUGCUCCUCUGACGUUAGCGGCGGACGGGUGAGUAACACGUGGAUAACCUACCUAUAAGACUGGGAUAACUUCGGGAAACCGGAGCUAAUACCGGAUAAUAUAUUGAACCGCAUGGUUCAAUAGUGAAAGACGGUUUUGCUGUCACUUAUAGAUGGAUCCGCGCCGCAUUAGCUAGUUGGUAAGGUAACGGCUUACCAAGGCGACGAUGCGUAGCCGACCUGAGAGGGUGAUCGGCCACACUGGAACUGAGACACGGUCCAGACUCCUACGGGAGGCAGCAGUAGGGAAUCUUGCGCAAUGGGCGAAAGCCUGACGGAGCAACGCCGCGUGAGUGAUGAAGGUCUUCGGAUCGUAAAACUCUGUUAUUAGGGAAGAACAAAUGUGUAAGUAACUAUGCACGUCUUGACGGUACCUAAUCAGAAAGCCACGGCUAACUACGUG